GGCCUCCUGGCGGAACUGGUAGACGCGCACGGCUCAGACCCGUGUGUCCGCAAGGACGUAAGGGUUCAACUCCCUUGGAGGCCAC
The sequence is a transfer RNA, 85 nucleotides long. It matches the Rfam family "tRNA". Rfam says of the family: Transfer RNA (tRNA) molecules are approximately 80 nucleotides in length. Their secondary structure includes four short double-helical elements and three loops (D, anti-codon, and T loops). Further hydrogen bonds mediate the characteristic L-shaped molecular structure. tRNAs have two regions of fundamental functional importance: the anti-codon, which is responsible for specific mRNA codon recognition, and the 3' end, to which the tRNAs corresponding amino acid is attached (by aminoacyl-tRNA synthetases). tRNAs cope with the degeneracy of the genetic code in two manners: having more than one tRNA (with a specific anti-codon) for a particular amino acid; and 'wobble' base-pairing, i.e. permitting non-standard base-pairing at the 3rd anti-codon position.